AACGAACGCUGGCGGCGUGGAUAAGACAUGCAAGUCGAACGGGAACUUCAGCUGUAGCAAUACAGUUGAAGUUUUAGUGGCGAACGGGUGCGUAACACGUGGGCAAUCUGCCGAGAAGUGGGGGAUAGCUCGCCGAAAGGCGAAUUAAUACCGCAUAUGAUCAGCUAAGACAUCUUAGCGACAUCAAAGCCGGGGCAACCUGGCGCUUUUUGAGGAGCCCGCGGCCUAUCAGCUAGUUGGUGAGGUAACGGCUCACCAAGGCUAUGACGGGUAGCUGGUCUGAGAGGACGACCAGUCACACUGGAACUGAGACACGGUCCAGACACCUACGGGUGGCAGCAGUCGAGAAUUUUUUCUCAAUGGGGCAACCCUGAAGGAGCGACGCCGCGU
This 390-nucleotide ribosomal RNA is filed under the name uncultured bacterium. Its description in RNAcentral is "bacterial SSU rRNA". It matches the Rfam family "Bacterial small subunit ribosomal RNA", at positions 29 to 402 of the family's 1533-position model. The record is from RNAcentral.